RNAcentral lists this non-coding RNA (30 nucleotides) under Rattus norvegicus (Norway rat). The record is from RNAcentral. Lineage: Eukaryota; Metazoa; Chordata; Mammalia; Rodentia; Muridae.
UUCCUGGACUUUGUCAUUUCUUUGAAUGGU